Nannospalax galili (Upper Galilee mountains blind mole rat) is the source of this 240-nucleotide long non-coding RNA. RefSeq lists it as uncharacterized. The record is from RefSeq and is a predicted model, not a curated record. NCBI's taxonomy places the organism in Eukaryota, Metazoa, Chordata, Mammalia, Rodentia, Spalacidae. The transcript is spliced from 3 exons.
CCACCUGCUCUGCCUCUGCCUGCCAAAUGCUGGGAUUAAUGGUAACUGAACAAAAUGUAUACAAAGGAAUGGCAUUCACCGUUAAGAAGGGAUGAAAUUCUGAUACGUGCUGCAUGUGGAUGAACCAUGAAAAUGCUGUGCUGAUUGAAAUAAGCCAGACACAAAAGGCCAAAUUAUUGUGUGAUUCCAUUUGUAUGAGGGUCUUGUCGGGAGCCGUAGGCCCCUACCCCAAGAAAUAGC